This 84-nucleotide transfer RNA is filed under the name Methanocalculaceae archaeon. RNAcentral's name for it is "tRNA-Leu". It matches the Rfam family "tRNA". Rfam says of the family: Transfer RNA (tRNA) molecules are approximately 80 nucleotides in length. Their secondary structure includes four short double-helical elements and three loops (D, anti-codon, and T loops). Lineage: Archaea; Methanobacteriati; Methanobacteriota; Methanomicrobia; Methanomicrobiales; Methanocalculaceae. The record is from RNAcentral.
GCGAGGGUUGCCAAGCUAGGUUAACGGCGCAGGGCUUAGGACCCUGUCUCAAGGAGUUCAUGGGUUCGAAUCCCAUCCCUCGCA